UACGGAGGAUGCAAGCGUUAUCCGGAUUCAUUGGGUUUAAAGGGUGCGCAGGCGGAAUGGUAAGUCAGUGGUGAAAUCCUACAGCUUAACUGUAGAAUUGCCAUUGAUACUGUCGUUCUUGAGUAUAGUUGAAGUGGGCGGAAUGUGUCAUGUAGCGGUGAAAUGCUUAGAUAUGACACAGAACACCGAUCGCGAAGGCAGCUCGCUAAACUAUCACUGACGCUCAUGCACGAAAGCGUGGGGAU
This 245-nucleotide ribosomal RNA is filed under the name uncultured bacterium. RNAcentral's name for it is "partial 16S ribosomal RNA". It matches the Rfam family "Bacterial small subunit ribosomal RNA", at positions 524 to 768 of the family's 1533-position model. The record is from RNAcentral.